This 1125-nucleotide non-coding RNA is filed under the name Pan troglodytes (chimpanzee). Lineage: Eukaryota; Metazoa; Chordata; Mammalia; Primates; Hominidae. The record is from RNAcentral.
CCCGGUUUCGACCGGCGCGCACCUGGGGCUGAGCCGGGUGCGCGCGGGGGUCGGGUCUGGAACUGCCCUCGAAUCGACGGGAUUUCUCUGGCUGUCGUUUGCGCUGCAUUUAUCCGAAUAAAUCCAGCUCGCAGGCAUCCUGCAAGAAACGGCUCCCGGCUCGCGUGUACGCCGACACCUUGGCCCAACGCAGGACUCGAGGUGGCUUCUAGUGCCCGGGUGGCUGCAAGUCUGCCCUCCGAGGGAGGCUGGACAAGCGGCGCCCCCAGGUCGAGCGGCCUCUCGCUGCCUGGCAGUGCCUGGCAGCCCCCACCCCUGCCAGUGCUUCGGAAACCUGCCUGGCCAGGUUCGCCCGCGGUGAAAAAUGAAAGCAAAUUCCCCAACAGAGGUAGCCGGAACUUUCCUCGACGAAGGCUCCCUCCUGCGCCUGUGUCUGGAGAACCCCCAGAGCGCUGCAAGUUAGCAAGAGAGAUUCGAUGGCGGCUCUGGAAGGCGCACGAAGGGUGGGGCGGGGGAGCAAAGAGGCCACUGGGUGACCCAGCCUGGCCCGGGGUGAAACGCUAGAGAAGGCGCCUCGCCUUCCUUAUUUCAAUGCAACUCCUCGGCCCCAGACGGUAAAAAUAGUUUCCAAGCUGCCGCGGACGCCCAGGAUGUGUUUGCAGAGAUCAAACUGGGGAGGAGGCAGCUUUGUGAAAGUUGCAGAAAGAUUAGCCGAGAAGCGUCCGCCCGGCGGGGCUCAAGAAAGCUUGGGGACAGCUCCAUGUUCCUUGGGGCGGAAUGGCCCAAGAAUUGGCCUGGGUAACCCCCUGCCCAGUUCUCUGUCCUCACUUCGAGCCAGUGCUUAAAUAACUUCCCGCCGCCUGCCCUGCAAACUUCCCAGCGCGGCGCCGUUGAGGCCAGGACACAGCAAAGGCUAGCAAAACCCCGCCGCGGCGCGCUCGGCCCCAGCCCUGAGAGGCUGCGCGGGUGGGAGGACCAGUGUGGUUUCUGCUCCCACUCGGCUGCCCAGACCCUCAAGACCGAUCCCCCAACUCCUGGGAGCGGGUGCUUCCCUCUGGGAGCCGAGAUCUUGCGGGGCCAGCGAGGGCGCAAAGUGCGCGCGCUGGCCCGCGCGGGGGCGGCCGC